CAAAGGUUUGGUCCUGACUUUACUAUCAGCUCUAGCUAGACUUACACAUGCAAGUAUCCGCACCCCCGUGAGAAUGCCCCAACAGUUCCCUGCCCGGGAACGAGGAGCUGGUAUCAGGCACAGUACUAACCAGCCCACGACACCUUGCUUAGCCACACCCUCAAGGGAAUCCAGCAGUGAUAGACAUUAAGCCAUGAGUGAAAACUUGACUUAGUCAAAGCUAAGAGGGCCGGUAAAACUCGUGCCAGCCACCGCGGUUAUACGAGAGGCCCGAGCUGAUAGUUGCCGGCGUAAAGAGUGGUUAAGAUCAAUUAAAAACUAAAGCCAAAAGCCCUCACAGCUGUUAUACGCACUCGAGAGUAGGAAGCCCAACUACGAAAGUGGCUUUACAACAUCUGAACCCACGAAAGCUAGGGUACAAACUGGGAUUAGAGACCCCACUAUGCCCAGCCUUAAACAUUGACAGUACAUUACAAAUACCGUCCGCCCGGGAACUACGAGCACCAGCUUAAAACCCAAAGGACUUGGCGGUGCUUUAGAUCCACCUAGAGGAGCCUGUUCUAGAACCGAUGAUCCCCGUUCAACCUCACCCUUCCUUGUUCAUCCCGCCUAUAUACCACCGUCGUCAGCUUACCCUGUGAAGGCCCAAUAGUAAGCAAAAUUGGCACUGCCCAAAACGCCAGGUCGAGGUGUAGCGUAUGGAGGGGGAAGCAAUGGGCUACAUUCACUAACAAUAGUGUACACGAACAGCGCACUGAAACGUGCACAUUGAAGGAGGAUUUAGCAGUAAGCGGGAAAUAGAGCGUUCCGCUGAAAUUGGCCCUGAAGCGCGCACACACCGCCCGUCACUCUCCCCAAGCUCCACUAGCCUAAAUGCCUAAAACCUAAAAAAUGCAUAAGGGGAGGCAAGUCGUAACAUGGUAAGCGUACCGGAAGGUGCGCUUGGAAAAAC
Molecule: non-coding RNA, 952 nt
Filed under: Anisotremus scapularis
Lineage: Eukaryota; Metazoa; Chordata; Actinopteri; Lutjaniformes; Haemulidae
Description: 12S ribosomal RNA
Rfam family: Bacterial small subunit ribosomal RNA
Source: RNAcentral